Long non-coding RNA from Eucalyptus grandis, 1086 nucleotides. RefSeq lists it as uncharacterized. The transcript has 4 exons. The record is from RefSeq and is a predicted model, not a curated record. Lineage: Eukaryota; Viridiplantae; Streptophyta; Magnoliopsida; Myrtales; Myrtaceae.
CAGACCUAGGGCUCCAAACCAAAAGCCCCAAAUCUCUCGACGCUUUCAGCCUUUCUCAGUUUCACUCUCGAUUUCACACUCACUGAUGCCGCCGCCGGACGCCGCUCGCCCUCAACGCCGCGCCAGACGCCGCUCGCCCUCGACGCCGCCGCCGGACACCGCUCGCCCUCGCCAAACGCCGCUGGACGCUAGUCGCUGACGCUGCUCGCCCUAACCCUCAGGUCCCUCACCACUCGACGCCAGUCAAAGUCUCUCUCGUUCUCUGCCUGUGCCCGUCGGCGACGCCGCUUGCCCUCGACGCCACCGCCGGACGCCGCUCGCCCUCGCCGGACGCCGCUGAACACCAGUCGCCGACGCCGCUCGCCCUAACCCUCGCCACUCGACGCCAAUCAGACUCUUAUUAGUUCUCUGCCUCUACCCGUUGCCGACGCCGCUCGCCUUCGACGCCGCCGCCGCCGGACGCCGCUCGCCGGCCCAGUCUCGUUUGAAUCUUCUCCGCUAGUCAUAUCUUCGCUUGUGAACAAUUGUAAAAGCUUUCAAUCACCAGCUCGUAUGCUCGUUGCAGUCCCGGCGUAGCUUAAAAAAUCUAGAUCAGAGGACUAUCAGGGAAGAGACGGCAACUGAUAACCUGGUUCAGAGGACUAUCAGGGAAGAGACGGCAACUGAUAACCUGGUUCAGAGGACUAUCAGGGAAGAGACGGUGUAAAAAGAUUCGUAUACAUCUCUGCAGCUGACUUUGGUGUUGUGAAUUGUUUACUCCAGGGAUAUUAUGAGGGAAAGAGAGCUGCUGAAACAGAGCUGCUGACAAAGUUCCCUUGUGGAGGUGAUAUAACUGUUUUUCCUUUACUUGUAAAUAGGCCGUGUUAGGAAUCUGCACACUAAAAAGGGCUAGUGAUUUACUAAAGUGCCUUGCAACCUGUACCUGGAUGAAUUUGUAUAGAAUUGGGGUCAAUAACUCUUGAGCGAUUAUCUUAUUGUUGGAUUAAGAUUGAUGUGCUUAUGCAGGCCCUAUGGUUUUUAAGUGCAUGAACGGUAUAAGUCUUGUAAGACCGACUGUUGAUGAUGGAUGUUGUCACGCUGUUCUAA